CACUACUUGGAAAACCAUAGCUUUAACUAUACGGACCUUUGUCGGCAAGGUGAUUGGGAUGCAUUUAUUUGAGGGCUAAUUGAUUUUGAGAGGGAUCUAGGUGGCAAUGGGGGGUGGAGUCUGGGAAGUUUGAGGAUAAUUUAACUGAAAGGGAAAUUAUUGGGUAAGUGUUUUGUAUUUGGAGCCUGCACUCUACCUUUUACUUGAACUUAGUUUAUGUACUAAGCUUUUUUGUCUUUCAUUUUUGUCUUUCAUUACUUUGUCUUCUGCAAAUUGGCUGUCAUUGUUCAGCAGCAAAAUGUGGGAUCAAAGGAGUGGUUUUGUUCUUGUGUGGCCAAGUUACUUGUCAACAUAAUCAAAGUUUGGAUCAAAAGAGUGGUUUGGUGUUGGGGUUCACGCAAUGCUUGCUUUGCACUCAGUUUUGUGCUUUGGGGCAAGUUCAGCAUUAUUUUUUUAAUACUUAAAAAGAGGGCAUGAGGACAACAGAUCUUCUUCUCUUGUUUGUCUUCAACAUGCAAUUUUCAGAAGUAUGCUGCCUCGUAAGUUAUAUGCAGGUUAUGAACUCCUGACCUGGACUCUUCCGCUACAAUUGACUGUAAGAAAUGUAGCCAGUUGAAUUUUGAAAGCAUCUUCCAGAUAGUGAAGUACAGUACUUGAGCACUUGGAAGCUUUUGAUAAAUAAUCCCUUUCCAAGACAAAAUGCUUCUCCCCUGGAACUGUUUCUCUGCCAGCUAUUAUCUAAGGUCAACAACAUAAUUUACAACUUUACUGGGGGGAGAAUGUGGCAUAGAGAAAGAGAGAAGCUUAAGAUUUAUCUGGGACUUGAGAGCUUGAUUAAGUGAAGUGAUUGUACUUUUUCUGCACAGGGUAAUUUUCAUUAGUGUUAACAGUGCGGUAAUAAUAAAACAAAAUUCCCUCAUUUUCUGUUGUCUUUGACAAGUUAUAUUCAGCAAACAGCCACUAAGCAAUGUCAAGCAAUCAGAUCCUAACUUUUGAGUUGACUUGGAAGUUUCAUUUUGCACUUUCAAAUGAGAAAUCAGCUUUCACCUUUUGAUGUGUAUGCUGCUGCCCAGUCACAACUGUGCUAAUGUCCAGUUCCGAGUAACAGGUCCCAUUAGCAGAAGCCUAGACAAGGACUUUUGCUAGUACAAUGGGGCUUCCUCCCCUGUUUCCCCACAAAAUUGAUGGCAAGGAGGGGGUGUCAAGAGAAUCCCCAGAACAGUACAUUGGGGAGGGAGGAGAGGGGAGAUUGAUAAGCAAACAGAAAUGCGUGUACUUCCUGAAUGUUUGUAACAGCCUGAUGUUGAACUCCUUCCUGGGCCUCUCCAUUGCUUCCUGUGGGCAGCCCUCUAUUACCCACAGGAGGUGUGGUGUGAGUAAGAGGAUGGCAUAAUAAACGGACAGAGAAUUUCCCCCCUUCCUUCUCCCAUAACAUGAGAACUCAGGGACUGAAUGCUGGAAGAUUCAAGACAGGCAAAAGGAAGUACCUGUUUACAUAGUGCAUUGUUAAAGGAGGCGGUGAUGGCCACCAACAUGGGUGACUUUAUAAGAGGAUUAGACAGAUUCACGGAGGAUGAAGCUAUCAGUAGCUCCUAGUCUCGAAUGCUACCUCCAGGGUCAAAGGCAGUAUGUCUCUGGAUAACAGUUGCAGGGAAUUGCAGGAGGAGAGAGUAGUGUUGUAUUCAGACCCUGCUUUCAGGCUUUCCAUGGGUAUCUGGUUGGCCAGUGUGAGAACAGGAUGCUGGGCUAGGUGGGCCAUUGGCUUAAUCCAGCAGGCUCAUCUUACAUUCUUAGCCUGCUUUCCAAGUAAUGGUGUACUUAGAAACAUUUAAAUUCUGGGCUUAAGUGAUCUUGGAGCUCCCCCUUUAGGUGGUAAUAUAUAUUAUUUCACUAUCUCAAAUGGCCCCUUUUAGAUGAUAAUGUUCAUUGUUUCACCUACUUUAAAAUGUGUUGAGCCAGCUAUAUUGUGUUUUCUGUGGCGGGGGCGCUGCUCAUUCUGCUAAGCAGGGGCUUGGAUUUCUGGCCCAAAGUGCUGCCCUAAGUGCAUCACUAGUUCCAAAGUGAGGCAGUCUGUAGGACAUAAAUUUUAUUUAUUUCAUAAAAUGUAUAUGUUGCUUGUUUGUAGAAAAGCCCCUGAAGCUUUUUACAAAAAGUCUGGCAUCAGACAUACAAUUGACUCCAGUGCACAAGAAUCCAUGUUAUUAGUAUAAAACGCUGUCACGAAGAGUCGGACACGACUAAACGACUAAACAACAACAACAGCUGCCUAUAUACUUGUUAGGCAUACCUCAGACAACAGCUACUCUUCGUAUGAAUAGGAUAGCUGUUGUUUUCAAAGUGCAACUUUGCUUACAAACGUGUUAUUGGGUUUAAUCAUUGUUAGACAGGCCUUAAUUGCUCCAAUUAGCUCAAAUACUAGCGAGGUCAGUACAAAUGGCAGCUCUAGUUGCAUUGCAAUUAACUUAACUGGUUUAGGCAAACAGUAUUUUCAAAAUAUUUGGGCAUACUUGACGGUCUCAUUAUGCCUUGCCUUGUAAAAGAAAUGUUCAGUUUUAACAAUUCAGUUAACACCAAGGUGGUGGUAGGGAUUGCUUGCCUAUGGCUUGAAACGGAGAGAGCAAGCCGUGUUCUUUGCACUGAUUUAAAGACAUUAGCACGAUGUUAGUGAGGAGAGGAAAUUAGUCCAAGCCUGGUUUUAAUGGGUUUUCCUUUUUAUAAUUCUACACAAAUGCUAAACUUGAGCAGCCCAAAAGGGAUAAUCUAGAAAGAGUGACUUGAAAAUGUGUUUGCCAUGUUUUGCAGAAUUCCAUAGAUUACAAUUCAUUUGCAAACAAAAUGGUUCUCUUUUCUCAUGUUUAGUUCCUCUAUAUCCUGCAUUUUGUCUGUUGAUGUGGCCCAUGAGGCAAUGUCUGGCCAUCGCUCAGAUCUACUUUCCUGUGCUUAGGGCUUGUUACCCUUGCAUUAGCCACAGUGUUUAUAUCUACUACUGCUAGUAUUAUCCAGAAUUUGUUUUUUGCUUUUAAUGCUGUACAAUCAUUUUGAGAAACUGCCAGUGCCAUCUGCUUAGUUAUUUCUAAUAAUGUUGUAGAGUAUUCCAGGCUAGAUGUUAUCUUAGAGUAAAAAUUAGCCGCGAAUCCCCAAUUCAAUUUAAAAAGAGAACUUGGCAUUUAAUUAUUAUUCACUCAUCAUACAGGUCAGUGAUAUUCACUGUUUAGCCCUUGGGGAAGCAUGGAAAAUGUUGCUGACUUGGGCACUUCAGUAAUUUUAAGGUCUGGAUUGCUGUGAAGAGAAUUUACCAAACUCCCCUGCUAUUCCCAUGUAUCAUAAUGGUGUAUGCAUUGUACAGGCUUGUUACUAACAGCACAAUUUUUGGAUCCACCAUAUUCUGUGACUGUAAGGACUCAGCUACAUUGGCAAAGAAAAAACACUUUAUAUGUGUUGUUUAUGCAUUCUAACACUAUGACACCUGAUGGUGCUGUGGAGUUCCAUUUUUGCUAACCCAAUUUCUCAUAUGAAGUUUAAAACGUCUUUAACUGAAAUGCUUCUUUGAAGUGUCUAGAUCCAGCCUAAGUUGUUUUAAACUGUUUUUAAUCCCGUGUUUUAAUCUUGCAAGGCAGAUAAUUAAUAAUAACAACAGCAUCUGGCAACAUACCCUUGUUGAGCAAAAAUCAGAAUCAAAUGCACACUAUGUGGGCAAAUUUGCUGGAGAGGUUUAGUGAACAUUUCCAAAACCAAAAAAUGCAGGGACAGCAAUUAUGCCUCUUUGAGAAUCCUUACAGUAUUAACAGGACAAUUCAAACCCUGUCAAGGCAGUGGCAGGGUAUAACAGAAUGGUGGAGAUCUGCCACAUGCAAAGUCCCAGGGUGGAAGGCGAGGGAAGGUUUAGGGAAUUGGCACAGCAAUCAGAACCCUGAUUGGGCCGAGUACCAUUAAUGGAGUUUAUGUAUAAAAUACCAGUUGACAUGAUACAUUUCAGACCAAGAGAGAGCACAGAAAUAUCACCUGGAUGAAUUAUGCAUUUCACUUAAAUGAAAAAUAGUUUCUCUGAAUUUCAGGUUCCAGUUUGGAGAUGUAAAUUUCCAGAGGCAAACUCCUUUGGAAUAUAAUGGUCCAAACUCCUCCCUGUCCAGUUCCCUGCUUCUGAUGUAUUUGACUAGUCUUCAAGUGAAUUACAUUUAAAAACAUAAACAUGAAUACAUUAUACC
Non-coding RNA from Podarcis lilfordi (Lilford's wall lizard), 4205 nucleotides. The record is from the annotation of a GenBank genome assembly. Lineage: Eukaryota; Metazoa; Chordata; Lepidosauria; Squamata; Lacertidae.